AUGCAGUCGAACGAGAAAGCCCUUCGGGGUGAGUAAAGUGGCGAACGGGUGAGUAACACGUGGGCAAUCUGCCCCUCGCAGGGGGACAACCGGGGGAAACCCCGGCUAAUACCCCGUAAGCUCGAAAGGCCGCAUGGCCCUUCGAGGAAAGGUAGCUUCGGCCAUCCGGCGAGGGAUGAGCCCGCGGUGCAUUAGCUAGUUGGUGGGGUAACGGCCCACCAAGGCGACGAUGCAUAGCUGGUCUGAGAGGAUGAUCAGCCACACUGGGACUGAGACACGGCCCAGACUCCUACGGGAGGCAGCAGUCGGGAAUCUUGCGCAAUGGGCGAAAGCCUGACGCAGCAACACCGUGUGUGUGACGAAGGCCUUCGGGUCGUAAAGCACUGUUGUUGGGGACGAAGGGCGAAGGGUUAAUAGCCCCGAGCUUGACGGUACCCUUCGAGGAAGCCCCGGCUAACUACGUGCCAGCAGCCGCGGUAAUACGUAGGGGGCGAGCGUUGUCCGGAAUUAUUGGGCGUAAAGAGCGUGUAGGCGGUUCGGUAAGUCUGCUGUGAAAUCUUGGGGCUCAACCCCGGGCGUGCAGCGGAUACUGCCGGGCUAGAGGGUGGUAGAGGCGAGUGGAAUUCCCGGUGUAGCGGUGAAAUGCGCAGAUAUCGGGAGGAACACCAGUAGCGAAGGCGGCUCGCUGGGCCACACCUGACGCUGAGACGCGAAAGCGUGGGGAGCGAACAGGAUUAGAUACCCUGGUAGUCCACGCCGUAAACGAUGGACACUAGGUGUGGGCGGAGUCGAAUCUGUCCGUGCCGAANCCAACGCGAUAAGUGUCCCNCNUGGGGAGUACGGCCGCANGNUUAAAACUCAAANGAAUUGACGGGGGCCCNCACAAGCAGCGGAACAUGUUCUUUAUUNCNAUGCAACCNGAAAACCUUACUUG
RNAcentral lists this ribosomal RNA (934 nucleotides) under uncultured Actinomycetes bacterium. RNAcentral describes it as "bacterial SSU rRNA". It matches the Rfam family "Bacterial small subunit ribosomal RNA", at positions 55 to 977 of the family's 1533-position model. The record is from RNAcentral. Lineage: Bacteria; Bacillati; Actinomycetota; Actinomycetes.